This 355-nucleotide ribosomal RNA is filed under the name uncultured bacterium. RNAcentral describes it as "partial 16S ribosomal RNA". It matches the Rfam family "Bacterial small subunit ribosomal RNA", at positions 338 to 710 of the family's 1533-position model. The record is from RNAcentral.
CCUACGGGCGGCAGCAGUGGGGAAUAUUGCACAAUGGGGGAAACCCUGAUGCAGCGACGCCGCGUGAGUGAAGAAGUAUUUCGGUAUGUAAAGCUCUGUUAGCAGGGAAGCAAAUGACGGUACCUGACCACGAAGCCCCGGCUAACUACGUGCCAGCAGCCGCGGUAAUACGUAGGGGGCCACCGUUAUCCGGAUUUACUGGGUGUAAAGGGAGCGUAGGCGGCAGGGCAAGUCUGGAGUGAAAGGCGGGGGCUCAACCCCCGGACUGCUCUGGAAACUGCCAGGCUGGAGUGCAGGAGAGGUAAGUGGAAUUCCUAGUGUAGCGGUGAAAUGCGUAGAUAUUAGGAGGAACACC